AACGAACGCUGGCGGCAUGCCUAACACAUGCAAGUCGAACGAGACCUUCGGGUCUAGUGGCGCACGGGUGCGUAACGCGUGGGAACCUGCCCUUAGGUUCGGAAUAACUCCCCGAAAGGGGUGCUAAUACCGGAUAAUGUCUUCGGACCAAAGAUUUAUCGCCUUUGGAUGGGCCCGCGUUGGAUUAGCUAGUUGGUAGGGUAAAAGCCUACCAAGGCGACGAUCCAUAGCUGGUCUGAGAGGAUGAGCAGCCACACUGGGACUGAGACACGGCCCAGACUCCUACGGGAGGCAGCAGUGGGGAAUAUUGGACAAUGGGCGAAAGCCUGAGCCAGCAAUGCCGCGUGAGUGAUGAAGGCCUUAGGGUUGUAAAGCUCUUUUACCCGGGAUGAUAAUGACAGUACCGUGAGAAUAAGCUCCGGCUAACUCCGUG
RNAcentral lists this ribosomal RNA (433 nucleotides) under uncultured bacterium. Its description in RNAcentral is "partial 16S ribosomal RNA". It matches the Rfam family "Bacterial small subunit ribosomal RNA", at positions 29 to 507 of the family's 1533-position model. The record is from RNAcentral.